UCGAGGAGUUGGAUGUCCUGCUGUCCUCCUUCCCGGAGGAUGGUAAGCCACUUGUGGUUCUUGGUGAUUUCAACAAACACCAAGACAAGCCCCAGGCCACGGAACUGAAUGCUCUUCUGGCCUCAUUUGUCUUGGAAAGGCUAAGCACCACAGCAACUCAUAGAUCGGGCAACCAGCUGGACCUCAUUUUUACAUGCCAGCACGUUCUACACCACCCAGCCCCUGGCUCUCUGAUGUCCUUCGUGAACAUCGGACUGACCUCAGGGCAUCUGAGAGGAGAUGGCGGAAAUCUAAAGAUCCAGCAGAUCUAGAACAAGCUGCUGGAUGACAAUCAGUCAGGCUUCAAAAAUGGACACUCCACCGAGACUGCCCUGCUGAGUCGCUGAGACAGGCGAAAGCUGAAUCCAGAUCAUGCGUCCUGAUUCUACAGGACCUUUCUGCAUCCUUCGACACAGUCAACCAUCAGAUAUUACUCUCCACCCUCUGUUUGCUGGGCAUCACAGGAACUAUGUUUUCUGGUUUAAUUCCUAUCUCUCAGGUAGGUCCUUCAAGAUAGCCUGGAGAGGUGAGGUGUCCAAGCCACAUCAGCUACUUACUGGGGUACCUCAGGGUUCAAUGCUUGGGCCACUUCUCUUCUCUAUAUACACAACAUCACUGGGACCCAUCAUUCAGGCACAUAGUUUCUCUUACCAUUGCUACGCUGAUGACACGCAACUCUACUUGUCUUUCCACCCCAAUGACACCAAAGUGACUGCUCAAAUCUCUGCCUGCCUGGCAGACAUCUUGGCCUGGUUGAAGGAACACCACCUGCAACUUAACCCAGCCAAGACCGAACUCCUUGUCUUUCUAGCCAACCCUGCUGUUGAACACAACAUCACCGUGCAGCUGGGUGCAACUACAGUAACGCCUUCCAAAACGGUCAGAAAUCUAGGGCUAACCAUCGAUAACAAACUAAAUUUCACAGACCACAUCUCAAAGACCACAAGAUCAUGUAGAUUUACACUCUACAAUAUCAGGAAGAUAAGACCCUUUCUCUCUGAACAUGCCACAUAACUAAUUGUUUAGUCACUUGUCAUAACUAGACUGGACUACUGUAAUGCUCUUGUUGCAGGCCUCCCUGCAUGUGCAAUUAGACCCCUGCAAAUGAUCCAGAAUGCAGCAACACGUCUGGUCUUUAAUCAACCAAAGAGAGCACGUUACACCACUCCUUGUCUCUUCACUGGCUGCCAGUUAAUGCACGUAUCAAGUUCAAGGCUCUGACGCUGGCAUACAAAACAGUCACUGGGUCUGCUCCAGCAUACCUAAAAUCAUUUCUGCAGAACUACGCGCCUACUAGAAGCCUGCGGUCGGCUAAGGAACGUCACCUUGUUGUACCAACACAAAGAGGCACCAAAACACUUUCACGGACCUUCGGCUUCAUCAUACCACGUUGGUGGAAUGACCUUCCCAACUCCAUCCGUGAAGCUGACUCACUCUCUGUCUUCAAUAAAUGGUUAAAAACACAUCUUUUCCAUGAGCAUUUAACCAGUCAAUAAUACAAAUAAAAAAAACACUUUAAUUUGUUUUGAAUGCUAUUCUGAUGCUAGUGAAACAUUGUAAAAUGG
Long non-coding RNA from Myxocyprinus asiaticus (Chinese sucker), 1604 nucleotides. RefSeq lists it as uncharacterized. The record is from RefSeq and is a predicted model, not a curated record. Lineage: Eukaryota; Metazoa; Chordata; Actinopteri; Cypriniformes; Catostomidae. The transcript is spliced from 3 exons.